CUCUACUAUUAUCUAGUAUUACUAUAUUUUUCCAUUAACAUAAAAAAACAUAUUCUUUCUCAUUUUUAUUGAAUAAAUAAAAGUAAUAAAUAAGCAAAAAUUUCAUUUUUAUCUAGAAUUUAAAUUGUAAAAAAAAACUUCAUAAAAGAUUAGGAAAAGUAAAAGUAUAUGAUAUAGAAACCUAUAAUAUAAAUGAAUACAAAUAAAAACAAACAAAUCGAACCAAAUUAUAAAAAGUACUUGUUAUUUUUAAAGUUUAAAGAAACUAUGUAAGGCAAAUAGUACUAAAUAAAAAAAGGAGCAAUAACGCCCUCUUGUUUUAUCAAGAGGGAAGCUAUUGCUCCUUUUUUAGUUCAAAAACUCCUAUACAAUCAGACCAAAGUC
RNAcentral lists this unclassified non-coding RNA (384 nucleotides) under Helianthus argophyllus. RNAcentral describes it as "partial trnH-psbA intergenic spacer". The record is from RNAcentral. Lineage: Eukaryota; Viridiplantae; Streptophyta; Magnoliopsida; Asterales; Asteraceae.